Molecule: long non-coding RNA, 287 nt
Filed under: Brassica napus (rape)
Lineage: Eukaryota; Viridiplantae; Streptophyta; Magnoliopsida; Brassicales; Brassicaceae
Description: long non-coding RNA (BNAP_LNC021525)
Source: RNAcentral
GAACACCAUCAAUUGGAUAUGAUGUCGGUACUCCACCAUCAUCAUAUCUUCUAGGAACUCUUUUCCUCGUACGAACAGUUGGAGCAAAGUAGUAUGAUGUGAAGUUAGAUGUUUCGGCUGUCAAACUUCCCGCAACUAUUGAACCUUCCACCUUUGCAAGAUUUCUUGUUUUCCCCUUCAAAUGUUUCAUCUGUCGCUCAUACGGAUACAUCCAUCCGUUGUGAACAGGUCCACGAAGCAAUGCUUCAUAUGGUAGGUGGACAACUAGAUGCUCCAUGACGUCAAAA